This 494-nucleotide ribosomal RNA is filed under the name uncultured bacterium. RNAcentral's name for it is "partial 16S ribosomal RNA". It matches the Rfam family "Bacterial small subunit ribosomal RNA", at positions 28 to 507 of the family's 1533-position model. The record is from RNAcentral.
GACGAACGCUGGCGGCGUGCCUAAUACAUGCAAGUAGAACGCUGAAGGAGGAGCUUGCUCUUCUGGAUGAGUUGCGAACGGGUGAGUAACGCGUAGGUAACCUGCCUGGUAGCGGGGGAUAACUAUGGAAAACGAAAGCUAAUCCCCCAUAACAUUGGAUUUUGAAUAAAAUUUCUUUAAAAGUUGAAAUUCCCCCACAACCAGAGGGACCUCGUUGUAUUAGCUAGUUGGUGGGGUAACGGCCCACCAAGGCGACGAAACAUAGCCGACCUGGGAGGGUGAUCGGCCACACUGGGACUGAGACACGGCCCAGACUCCUACGGGAGGCAGCAGUAGGGAAUCUUCGGCAAUGGACGGAAGUCUGACCGAGCAACGCCGCGUGAGUGAAGAAGGUUUUCGGAUCGUAAAGCUCUGUUGUAAGAGAAGAACGAGUGUGAGAGUGGAAAGUUCACACUGUGACGGUAUCUUACCAGAAAGGGACGGCUAACUACGUG